UGGGCAACCUGCCCUCAGCUCUGGGAUAACUCCGGGAAACCGGGGCUAAUACCGGAUACGACCUCUACCGGCAUCGGUGGUGGUGGAAAGUUCUUCGGCUGAGGAUGGGCCCGCGGCCUAUCAGCUUGUUGGUGGGGUGAAGGCCUACCAAGGCGACGACGGGUAGCCGGCCUGAGAGGGCGACCGGCCACACUGGGACUGAGACACGGCCCAGACUCCUACGGGAGGCA
Molecule: ribosomal RNA, 230 nt
Filed under: uncultured bacterium
Lineage: Bacteria
Description: partial 16S ribosomal RNA
Rfam family: Bacterial small subunit ribosomal RNA
Source: RNAcentral